This 60-nucleotide microRNA precursor is filed under the name Ascaris suum (pig roundworm). The record is from RNAcentral. Lineage: Eukaryota; Metazoa; Nematoda; Chromadorea; Rhabditida; Ascarididae.
CUGGAUGUCUCUCGCAGUCAUACGGUAUAUAGAGUUCUAUGACUAGAGACACAUUCAGCU